This is an RNA transcript of Nematostella vectensis (starlet sea anemone), 1845 nucleotides long. RefSeq lists it as uncharacterized. The record is from RefSeq and is a predicted model, not a curated record. The transcript has 2 exons. Lineage: Eukaryota; Metazoa; Cnidaria; Anthozoa; Actiniaria; Edwardsiidae.
CUAGGCUACGCCGCUGACCACGACGUGUAAACUUCAAGUUCCUUGGUAUAUGCUCUACGGACUUAUCUUUACUUUUUUGGAUGUAUAAAAGCGGAUUAAUUUUUCUCACACUUAAUGAGAUCAGAAAAAGCAUAAAUUCACUUUUUGUUACUUUUUUCUUGCCGUCGUCGACUGCUACAGUAAUUCUUGUACCUCAACUUUGCAUAAAAUACUUUGUUUAGAUAUAUACCAAGAUUGACGUUUUAUUUGUACCAGAGAAAAUAUAUUUUCGAAAAAAAUACCACUUCCCUUUUUGAAAUUCUCACAUUUUCAUUAUAUAUAGCGUUAUAAUAAAAAUGCUACCGCCAUUAUGUCUUUUAGAUUAUAAAAUUAAAAAAAAUUAGGUGAAAUUAAAUUAAAUUUUGUUUACUCACAACCUUUACUCUUAACUAAACUUGAUGUAAAUUCCCAUAAGAAAAUACAUCAAAGAUUUACCUACCUGCAUAAACCUAGUAAAUAGUAAUAAAGUAAAUAGUAACUAGUAAUCGAGCUAUAUGCUUACGCUUCACUCACAAAUCUCCCGCCGCCUCUACUUACGGGAAAUGGUCGUGUCCAACUUUUAAAAGUGCCGUGAGCAUCGUACGUGAGAUACUACGAUCACUCCUUAUGGUAUGAUAGCGAUAAUCUCUCAUGAUCACCUUUCUCUUAUAAAAUAUAAUCGCGUGGAAGAUUAAGUAAAAAAAAAAAAAAAAAACGGGUAUGCUUGAGACUGCCUAUACAGCUCGUGUUUAUGAUAACUUUCUCAUUACUUCAGAUAAAUUGUACGAACGGUUUAGCCAGGUUAUCGUAUAGUUAAAAUCUUCUUGUUUAUCCUUCUAGCAUUGUCAAGUAUGUCAACUUAACAUCUUAUCUUUAUUGAAUAUUUUUGAUAAACUUUGUACAUAAUUACUAUAUAAUGUGUGCAAAUUAUGUAAAUGUAGAAGGGUAGCUACCUUUUUCGCUGAGAAUGCCAUAUCAUCUUUGUGAGAAAAAUUAAGAGAUCAUGCAGAACAAGAAAUCAAUACGAAAAAAAAUUCCCAAAGCAAAGCCUAAAUCCACAUAAAAACCUUCCUGUCGGAAUAUUUCAAAACCUUCAAUUAUAAUGUAUCACCAUACUUAGGAUUUUUCACCUCCUGUUUGUUUAAAAGUUUCGCCAAAGAUCUAUCUCACCGGGAUAAUUGCAGCUUUGCCUUAAUGCUUUUUCUAGACUAAGAACAAAAUACACUUUGCCGAACAGUAUAUAAAACUCUGGUUUCUCACUAGUUUGCUAACAAUUGCAAGAAGUCACCGGCAAGACAUAAGCCAUGAUACGCCAAAAGAUAGCGUUGGUUCUUGUUGUGGUAUCGCUUAGUUUGUUUUCACAAUCUGCAAAAGGUUACACAAUGGGCGGACUUCACGGCAAGCGGGAAACUACACUUGUCCGGGAAAACAGCAGGUUCUGCGAGAUGGCAAAAAGUCGCUGUGACGAUGGAUGGGAUGUCUUUGGAGUUCGCGACGAGGGCGGCAUUCCCUUUCCAGAGAACCUUGCAAAUCUUGAGCCAGAAAAAAAGUAUUCAACGCGUGCAAAAGGAGAAACAACGUUCAAUUGAGCUGCGCUACUUUCAUAGUCGUGGGUGAAGUGAAAUUUAGCAGAAAGUGAAUGCAAUUAGGACGGAGCUGAGUAGCGUCCUUACCUGUUUACGAAUCCCGGAAAUUGUAGUUAUAAGUUAAAUAUGAAGUCAAUCUAUAAGCAAAAACUUUAAAGUAUUAAUCACAAUAACCCAAAUUCUAGCGAUACAUAUUAUACAGGUUAAUCAACGGUCGAAUAAAGUACGAAUAGGGCCAAAA